CUACGGCCGUUCCAUGCUGAAUAUACCGGUUCUUGUUAGAUCACCGAAGUUAAGCAUCAUUGGGCGCGGUCAGUACUUGGGUGGGUGACCACCUGGGAACACUGCGUGCCGUU
This 113-nucleotide ribosomal RNA is filed under the name Caerostris darwini. The record is from RNAcentral. Lineage: Eukaryota; Metazoa; Arthropoda; Arachnida; Araneae; Araneidae.